ACCAGGUCCCUCCUACAACAUGUGGAGAUUAUGGGAACUACAAUUCAAGAUGAGAUUUGAGUGGGGACGAGGCCAAACCAUAUCACCUUGGCCUUCCAAAGUGCUGGGAUUAAAGGUGUGAGCCACUGUGUCCAGCCAUAGAAACUUAUGAUAAGUCACGUUUCUUGUUUGAGAAAUAGCUACCAUGAAUGCUAUUAUUAAAGCUAUAUAUUAUUAGAAAGCAGACAUCUCACUGUAUCUGCUGAUUUUAAAUGCAUUGAUCAUCUGAUACAAAGUACGGUAAGCUUGGAAACAAGUAAUUUAACAGCGGUAGAUAAUGCAGGUCGUAGUGGGCCGCUUUAUGCAUGACUGUUGGAUGGCAGGCUCCCUAGAUUGGGCUGAGGAGACCCGAGGUCUCACCUCUGCCAGUGACUUGCUGUGUGUGCUUGGCCAGGUGACUCAUGGCACCUGGACGGAGGGAGUGGUGUGGUGAUCACAGGGACGUGGUAUGUGAUUGCGGGAGAGGGCUGGGCCGGCUGGCCUGACUGGAAGAGAAGACAGUUUCUUUCAUACCAAAGAGUAUGGACACUUACCAGGAGGCUUGCCUAAGGUAGGAGAAGAUCUUCCACCCUGCCCCAGGAGUGGGGAGUCUCAUCUUUUUGGGGGGCAUUUCUAUCCUCCCAGCCCCUCCAGCUGUUCUGGAAGCCCCAGCUUAGUGCUUACAGCUACCACCGAGAAUCCAUCCCAAACUAGGAGAAGCAAAGACUGAUCCUGGACCCUCUCCCCGCUGUCGCCGGCUAGCCCACUCCAGCAUUGCCCGUCCUGCAGGCCCGUGCUUCGCACUACAGGAGAUUAUAUGCACAGAAACAGGAGGCACACAGCCGAUGUUGGAAUGGGUGCUGUGUUACUGAGGUGCAGUACACAAAAGCAGGAGGCACUCAGCAGGUGUUGGAAAGGGUGCUGUGUUACUUAGGUGCAGCACAGUACCGUGGGAAGGGCAGACACCAGGGCGAAUCCUGGCUCUGAUUCGGGCAGCUUGUUUCAUCACCCUGAGCCUCAGUUGUUUCAUCUGUAAAUGAGGAUGAGAAUACCUCCGUCACAGGAUUCUAUGUGACAUGAUUAGAAAAUGCCUAGCCAAAAAA
This 1121-nucleotide long non-coding RNA is filed under the name Macaca fascicularis (crab-eating macaque). RNAcentral describes it as "lncRNA (ENSMFAG00000058329.1)". The record is from RNAcentral. Lineage: Eukaryota; Metazoa; Chordata; Mammalia; Primates; Cercopithecidae.